RNAcentral lists this long non-coding RNA (253 nucleotides) under Elaeis guineensis (African oil palm). RNAcentral's name for it is "long non-coding RNA (EGUI_LNC036215)". The record is from RNAcentral. Lineage: Eukaryota; Viridiplantae; Streptophyta; Magnoliopsida; Arecales; Arecaceae.
CCAACAUCAUCCUAUCGCUAUGCAUGAUCUUCAGGAUUCCAUCACCAACUCUCCACCUGUAGCCAUUUGAAUCCAGUUUACUCAGUGAGAUAAGAUUUCAUCUGAUUUAGAUAUGUAUCAGAUCCUAUCCAAUCUCCUCACUACACCAUCAUAUGUCCUCCAACUAACUGUCUCGGUUCUUCUGAUCGCAUGCUCGAUCCAUCCGAUAGAUGAACAGUACCCUCACUGCUCUACAGAGAGUCAAACAGCUCCU